UCCUCCCUCAAACUUCGUUUGGUGUUGGACCGCGUUGGUCGAGCGACCAACUGGUCUCAAAGACAAUGACGGCGUCCGUGGGACCCUCGGUGCAACGAGCUUCUAAGGAGCACGCGUCGAGUUUCAAGGACCCUCCGGGCCGGUCUUGACCUCUAUCUUCUCAA
Molecule: unclassified non-coding RNA, 164 nt
Filed under: uncultured Chaetothyriales
Lineage: Eukaryota; Fungi; Ascomycota; Eurotiomycetes; Chaetothyriales
Description: sequence contains ITS2
Source: RNAcentral